Molecule: ribosomal RNA, 400 nt
Filed under: Sphenomorphus sungaicolus (Malaysian riparian skink)
Lineage: Eukaryota; Metazoa; Chordata; Lepidosauria; Squamata; Scincidae
Description: partial 16S ribosomal RNA
Rfam family: Bacterial large subunit ribosomal RNA
Source: RNAcentral
ACUGGUAUGAACGGCUAAAUGAGGGCAAACCUGUCUCCUAUGACCAAUCAGUGAAACUGAUCUCCCAGUCCAAAAGCUGGAAUAUAACCACAAGACGAGAAGACCCUGUGGAGCUUAAAAUCUAUUACCAACACCCCGUGGUAAAAAAUUUUGAGUUGGGGCGACUUCGGAAUAAAACAAAACUUCCGAGCACAGAACCACUACUUCUAACCAAGGCAGACAUGCCAAAGAACAAAUCGACCCAGUCAUACUGAUCAACGAACCAAGUUACCCCAGGGAUAACAGCGCCAUCUUCUUUAAGAGUCCAUAUCGACAAGAAGGUUUACGACCUCGAUGUUGGAUCAGGACACCCAAAUGGUGCAGCCGCUAUUAAAGGUUCGUUUGUUCAACGAUUAACAGU